CUGCCUGGCUCUGCUAACUUUGGGAACGGCCCUCUCUGGCUCCAGGUGGCACAAACAGUUCAGCCGAUCCACAGGUCGCCCGUUUCCUGAGAGGUUCAGACAGGAGAAUCGCUCCAGCCCAGAAGUUCUCAGCCAGCCUGGGCAACACAGGGUGGGGAGACUGAGGUGCUUCUAACCCAAGGGACCGGGGAGGCUGGAGGCCCCUCUCCCUGAUGACCGGACUUCCACCGCUGUCACAAAGAGCCCAAUGCUGGCCAGCCGCCAAAAGCCACUGUUCCCGAGCCUGUUUGUGCUGUUGAACUUGUCCUAAUUACAUUUUUAAUUAUCAAGAGCCUGGACAACCCAAAGGUGUCUGCACCACUAGAAGCCCAGUCCAGUCCAGCAAGGAUGACAACUCGGGAAAGCUGGCACCUGGAGCUCUCUGUGUAGCCCCACAGGGCUCAGGCGAAACCGCUUGACCCCCUCGGGAACUUCAACUUGUUGGUCUGCACCAUCGAUCCAAUGUCCAGCACAGGGCUGAGAGAGUUAAAGGGACAGUGGCCAGCUCCUGGUGCCCACGGGUAGGACGUCCCUCCGGCUUGUCCCCCUCUAGACGAGCCGGACCGCGCGGCCCCUUUAAGGCAGCUCUGGAUGACCCGAAGGCUAGAGCGGCCCUCUGGCGGUAGUCUCGAUGCUAAAAAUAAACUCUCCAGCCCCCAGCGACCGGCCGAAAUCACGCAGUAGCUGCUUUCUGCUCCCGGGAGAGUUCCAGGCGACCCAGGUCACUUGCCUGGAAGAUUGGUGUGUGUACACUGAGUGAAAACCAGGCCCUGCUGCGUGCACUUGGACCUGUCGGGUUUGACUCUGAUAUGUUUUGGGGGUGUUCACCGGCUUAAGACUGCUGUGUGGUGGCUGUAAAUAAAUGGCAUUUGACCAUA
This is a non-coding RNA of Cricetulus griseus (Chinese hamster), 917 nucleotides long. The record is from RefSeq and is a predicted model, not a curated record. NCBI's taxonomy places the organism in Eukaryota, Metazoa, Chordata, Mammalia, Rodentia, Cricetidae.